RNAcentral lists this long non-coding RNA (366 nucleotides) under Ananas comosus (pineapple). RNAcentral's name for it is "long non-coding RNA (ACOM_LNC039945)". The record is from RNAcentral. Lineage: Eukaryota; Viridiplantae; Streptophyta; Magnoliopsida; Poales; Bromeliaceae.
ACGCCCCGGGACCGAUACCAAUUUGGCCCGACCCGAGCACGUCAAACAGACGCCGAACGGACAGAGUUUUUCCUAUCCGCCCAAGGCUCAUCACAUGUACAUUUUCAUCAAUAGAGAAAAGCACUAGCGGAAACAUACACAAACGGCUUACACGAGGGUAAGCAAUAGCCAUUAGUGAAAGAAAGGAAAACUAAACAUUUAUAAGUACUAUGAUUCAAUUUAGAUCAUAUACAUUGCAGUCAACCUGUAAUUCUUUGAGCUUCUUACAUUUCGUUUCAUCAUUUCUUUCUUACAUCACAUUUACCUCAAAAUACACAUUACGUUCUUUUCUUUACAUUAUUCAUCAUCAAGUACAAAAGAUGAACA